UCUAAUCCUUCUAGUGUAAUUCACUCCCUCUUUAACACAAUAUUUCAGCUAAAUGAAUAUCUAUGGAAUAUUAUUGAUUGUCUUGAAUUUAGCAAAAGGAGGAGGAUUUAAUUUGGUUUCAUGCUAUUUAGUAGGACAAUCAGACAUGAAACAGCAAACCUGUGACGUAAAAGAGCAAAGGUAGUCCUGAAUGAUUUUCAGAUUGGUAAUUAGCCUAUCUUUAU
RNAcentral lists this unclassified non-coding RNA (224 nucleotides) under Hevea brasiliensis (rubber tree). The record is from RNAcentral. Lineage: Eukaryota; Viridiplantae; Streptophyta; Magnoliopsida; Malpighiales; Euphorbiaceae.